GACGAACGCUGGCGGCGUGCCUAACACAUGCAAGUCGAGCGAAUGAAGUUCCUUCGGGAAUGGAUUUAGCGGCGGACGGGUGAGUAACACGUGGGCAACCUGCCUCAUAGAGGGGAAUAGCCUUCCGAAAGGGAGAUUAAUACCGCAUAAGAUUGUAGUACCGCAUGGUACAGCAAUUAAAGGAGCAAUCCGCUAUGAGAUGGGCCCGCGGCGCAUUAGCUAGUUGGUGAGGUAACGGCUCACCAAGGCGACGAUGCGUAGCCGACCUGAGAGGGUGAUCGGCCACAUUGGGACUGAGACACGGCCCAGACUCCUACGGGAGGCAGCAGUGGGGAAUAUUGCACAAUGGGCGAAAGCCUGAUGCAGCAACGCCGCGUGAGCGAUGAAGGCCUUCGGGUCGUAAAGCUCUGUCCUCAAGGAAGAUAAUGACGGUACCCGGAGAAGAAGCCCCGGCUAACUUCGUGCCAGCAGCCGCCGUAA
Molecule: ribosomal RNA, 480 nt
Filed under: uncultured bacterium
Lineage: Bacteria
Description: partial 16S ribosomal RNA
Rfam family: Bacterial small subunit ribosomal RNA
Source: RNAcentral